GGCAGCCUACGGGAGGCAGCAGUGAGGAAUAUUGGUCAAUGGGCGGAAGCCUGAACCAGCCACGUCGCGUGAGGGAAUAAGGCCCUACGGGUCGUAAACCUCUUUUGCCGGGGAGCAAGGGCCGGGACGCGUCCCGGCCCGGAGAGUACCCGGAGAAAAAGCAUCGGCUAACUCCGUGCCAGCAGCCGCGGUAAUACGGAGGAUGCGAGCGUUAUCCGGAUUUAUUGGGUUUAAAGGGUGCGUAGGCGGGCUUUUAAGUCAGCGGUAAAAAUUCGG
RNAcentral lists this ribosomal RNA (276 nucleotides) under uncultured bacterium. Its description in RNAcentral is "partial 16S ribosomal RNA". It matches the Rfam family "Bacterial small subunit ribosomal RNA", at positions 333 to 605 of the family's 1533-position model. The record is from RNAcentral.